RNAcentral lists this long non-coding RNA (206 nucleotides) under Elaeis guineensis (African oil palm). RNAcentral describes it as "long non-coding RNA (EGUI_LNC049598)". The record is from RNAcentral. Lineage: Eukaryota; Viridiplantae; Streptophyta; Magnoliopsida; Arecales; Arecaceae.
ACACAUAGUAGGAUCUUUAAUCCUUUCGAAAGGUAUUUAGGUAUGCUUAACAGAGGAUGUAGAGAAAGUCAUUUCUCAUGGGAUGGGAGCAUAGAGAUGAUCCCAGAACCUACAAUGAGUCGAUGUACGAUAUUGACUCCAAGAAAGAGAUGUGAAACAGCUUUUUUGAGAAGAGAUCUUUUGAACAUUUCUGUAUGGAAUAGCCU